AGCGAACGCUGGCGGCAGGCUUAACACAUGCAAGUCGAGCGGGCACUUUCGGGUGUCAGCGGCGGACGGGUGCGUAACGCGUGGGAACGUGCCCUCUGGUUCGGAAUAACUCAGGGAAACUUGAGCUAAUACCGGAUACGCCCUUUUGGGGAAAGGCUUGCUGCCGGAGGAUCGGCCCGCGUCUGAUUAGCUAGUUGGUGAGGUAACGGCUCACCAAGGCGACGAUCAGUAGCUGGUCUGAGAGGAUGAUCAGCCACACUGGGACUGAGACACGGCCCAGACUCCUACGGGAGGCAGCAGUGGGGAAUAUUGGACAAUGGGCGCAAGCCUGAUCCAGCCAUGCCGCGUGAGUGAUGAAGGCCUUAGGGUUGUAAAGCUCUUUUAUCCGGGACGAUAAUGACGGUACCGUAGGAAUAAGCCCCGGCUAACUUCGUG
RNAcentral lists this ribosomal RNA (435 nucleotides) under uncultured bacterium. Its description in RNAcentral is "partial 16S ribosomal RNA". It matches the Rfam family "Bacterial small subunit ribosomal RNA", at positions 29 to 507 of the family's 1533-position model. The record is from RNAcentral.